GAUGAACGCUGGCGGCGUGCCUAAUACAUGCAAGUCGAGCGAACGGACGAGAAGCUUGCUUCUCUGAUGUUAGCGGCGGACGGGUGAGUAACACGUGGAUAACCUACCUAUAAGACUGGGAUAACUUCGGGAAACCGUAGCUAAUACCGGAUAAUAUUUUGAACCGCAUGGUUCAAAAGUGAAAGACGGUCUUGCUGUCACUUAUAGAUGGAUCCGCGCUGCAUUAGCUAGUUGGUACGGUAACGGCUUACCAAGGCAACGAUGCAUAGCCGACCUGAGAGGGUGAUCGGCCACACUGGAACUGAGACACGGUCCAGACUCCUACGGGAGGCAGCAGUAGGGAAUCUUCCGCAAUGGGCGAAAGCCUGACGGAGCAACGCCGCGUGAGUGAUGAGGGUCUUCGGAUCGUAAAACUCUGUUAUUAGGGAAGAACAUAUGUGUAAGUAACUGUGCACAUCUUGACGGUACCUAAUCAGAAAGCCACGGCUAACUACGUG
This 497-nucleotide ribosomal RNA is filed under the name uncultured bacterium. Its description in RNAcentral is "partial 16S ribosomal RNA". It matches the Rfam family "Bacterial small subunit ribosomal RNA", at positions 28 to 507 of the family's 1533-position model. The record is from RNAcentral.